This 433-nucleotide ribosomal RNA is filed under the name uncultured bacterium. RNAcentral's name for it is "partial 16S ribosomal RNA". It matches the Rfam family "Bacterial small subunit ribosomal RNA", at positions 29 to 507 of the family's 1533-position model. The record is from RNAcentral.
AACGAACGCUGGCGGCAUGCCUAACACAUGCAAGUCGAACGAGACCUUCGGGCCUAGUGGCGCACGGGUGCGUAACGCGUGGGAACAUGCCCUUAGGUUCGGAAUAACUCCCCGAAAGGGGUGCUAAUACCGGAUAAUGUCUUCGGACCAAAGAUUUAUCGCCUUUGGAUGGGCCCGCGUUGGAUUAGCUAGUUGGUAGGGUAAAAGCCUACCAAGGCGACGAUCCAUAGCUGGUCUGAGAGGAGGAUCAGCCACACUGGGACUGAGACACGGCCCAGACUCCUACGGGAGGCAGCAGUGGGGAAUAUUGGACAAUGGGCGAAAGCCUGAUCCAGCAAUGCCGCGUGAGUGAUGAAGGCCUUAGGGUUGUAAAGCUCGUUUACCCGGGAUGAUAAUGACAGUACCGGGAGAAUAAGCUCCGGCUAACUCCGUG